This 76-nucleotide transfer RNA is filed under the name Alphaproteobacteria bacterium. Its description in RNAcentral is "tRNA-Thr". It matches the Rfam family "tRNA". Rfam says of the family: Transfer RNA (tRNA) molecules are approximately 80 nucleotides in length. Their secondary structure includes four short double-helical elements and three loops (D, anti-codon, and T loops). The record is from RNAcentral. Lineage: Bacteria; Pseudomonadati; Pseudomonadota; Alphaproteobacteria.
GCCGGCGUAGCUCAGUCGGUAGAGCAACUGAUUUGUAAUCAGUGGGUCGUGGGUUCGAUUCCUGCCGCCGGCACCA